This 406-nucleotide ribosomal RNA is filed under the name uncultured bacterium. RNAcentral describes it as "partial 16S ribosomal RNA". It matches the Rfam family "Bacterial small subunit ribosomal RNA", at positions 29 to 526 of the family's 1533-position model. The record is from RNAcentral.
AUUGAACGCUGGCGGCAGGCCUAAAACAUGCAAGUCGAACGAUUGGCGGAAGGGUGCGUAUUGUCUGGGAAACUGUCCGAUGGCGGGGGAUAACUACUGGAAACGGUAGCUAAUACCGCAUACCAUCGGAUGUGCCCAGAUGGGAUUAGCUAGUAGGUGGGGUAACGGCUCACCUAGGAGACGAUCCCUAGCCGGUGUGAGAGGAUGACCGGCCACACGUGAACUGAGACACGGUCCAGACGCCUACGGGGGGCAGCGGUGGGGAAGAUGGCAAGAGGGGCGGAAGCCGGGUGCAGCCAUGCCGGUUGUAUGAAGAAGGCCUUCGGGUUGUAAAGUACUUUCAGCGAGGAGGCGUUACUCGCAGAGGAAGCACCGGCUAACUCCGUGCCAGCAGCCGCGGUAAUAC